This 57-nucleotide transfer RNA is filed under the name Diaphanoeca grandis. RNAcentral's name for it is "partial tRNA". The record is from RNAcentral. Lineage: Eukaryota; Choanoflagellata; Acanthoecida; Stephanoecidae.
AGUAGCUCAGUUGGUUGCAGCGCUUGAUUGAUAAUCGAUUUGUCGCAGGUUCAAGUC